Anolis carolinensis (green anole) is the source of this 5451-nucleotide long non-coding RNA. RefSeq lists it as uncharacterized. The transcript is spliced from 2 exons. NCBI's taxonomy places the organism in Eukaryota, Metazoa, Chordata, Lepidosauria, Squamata, Anolidae. The record is from RefSeq and is a predicted model, not a curated record.
AAAGCAGAUAAUCCACAUUAUCUGCUUUGAACUGGAUUAUAUGAGUCUACACUGCCAUAUAAUGCAGUUCAAAGCAGAUAAUCUGGAUGUUAUAUGGUAGUGUAAAAGAGGCCAAUGAUAUCUGACCCUGGCCCUGCUGCUGGUGAUUGUGAUGCAACAGUGAUGCUGCUCCUUCUCUGAUGCCUUCGUGGUUCCCGUGGAGAUGAGUCAAGCCAAGGAGAGAGAGGCAGGCAGAGGAGUCCCAUGGAAACAGCUAAGUCCCUCUGAUGGGAAACUGAGGCAACAAAAUAGUCCUCCUACUCACAGCAGUCAAAGAAUUAUAUAAAUAGUAUAUGGGAUAAAAGAAAAUUGCAAAAAAAGAGAUUAUGGUAAGGCUGGCAGUUGAGAUGAGUUCAAGAACAAAGUUGCACAGUUUGAAAUUUACUGGAAGAUGGGAAUCCAGAAGAUGAGGUGGGUAUGUCAGCAUUUCCAGUUGCCAACAUAUUUCCCUAACUUGGCUUACUUUUUGGCUGAAAACAUAUAAGAUUUCCAGCUUCUCACAAGUUUCAAGAAACGACAAAUAUGAAAAAAAAAUCUGAUCUAAGGUUGGCUUUGGGAAAGUAAAGUACCUCUCCAGUGAUCUUUGCCAACAUGUCGGUAGGUUUCUAUGGGGUACGUUUUUAAAUGGAUGUUUAAAAUUUUAUUAACUAACUGUACUUAUGACACAAAAAAUAAUAAGAGAGACUGAGAUAGAUAGAUAGAUAGAUAGAUAGAUAGAUAGAUAGAUAGAUAGAUAGAUAGAUAGAUAGAUAGAUAGAUAGAGAUGAUUGAUUUCAGGCUGCUGACAAUCUUCAAAAAGCAGGAAAUAUGUGACAAAAAUCUUGCUUCAGGAAAAAUAAAAAUCUCUUCAGCAAACUUUACCAUGGUAAGUCUCCAUGAAGUAAGUUUCUUAAAUGGAAAGUUCAUAUCUCAAUAAAUGCUCAGUGGCUAAAGAUUUAUUUUUUUAAUUCUGUACUUGUAUAUAACUUUUUUUUUACCUAAAUGAGAGUUUUCCUAUUUUAAAAGAACUGCAAAUCCACCUGUUUUGCAUAGGGAAUAUCUAAACAAUCUUCAAAAAGCAGGAAAUAUGUGACAAAAAUCUGAUAUAAGACUUGCUUUAGGAAAAAUAAAAACCUCUCCAGCAAACUUCACUAAUAUGUUGGUAAGUCCCCAUGAAGUAACUUUCUAAAUUGGGAAAAAAUCAUCUCAACAAAUUCUCAGUGGUUAAAGGUUUGUUUUUAUCACUUUGUACUUGUAUAUAACUUCUUCUUUUUUUAACCUAAAUGACAGUUAUCCUAUUUUAAAAGAACUGCAAAUCUACCCGUGUUGCGUAGGAAAUAUCUAAACAAGUAUAAUCUGAAUUGAAACAAAACAAUCUUGCAUUUGAAAUAUUUGAAAUAUUUCAAUAUUUCAUGGUGACCAAAGUCUAUGUUUUUCUUUUCCUGGAUUACUAACUACAGCAGUUGACCAUUCUGAAGGAGACUUUUAUCUAGACUUUAAAGAAACUAUAUAAUCUUCCAGCUGUUUUUGUUUAAAAGAAGGCUCCUUUUCCAAAAUUGAAAUAUAUUGUCAAAGUUUUACAUAUCUUUCUGUCAUAUGCAUUAGAAUUUUUGUUGUUUCCAUAUUAUCUAGUUCAUUGUGUAAAAUAUAAUGUAACAGGUUGACACUUUAAAUAUGAAAUCCCCAUCUUGGAAUUUUCUUUUCUUGCAGGAAAAUUGUGAAGGGUUCCCAGUUUUCUUGAAUACUGAAGGGUCUUUCAUCUAAAAAUAUCUUGUCAAAAUAUUAAUUUGCUCUAUUUCACCUACUUUUACUAUCCAUUCUUCCAUUUUUGGUGUUAAUUAUAGUUUCCACAUCUGUACACACACAAUUCUUACUGUAGUUGUCAUCAAAAAGAAAAGUGUGUCAAAUGUCUUCAAAAGUGAUCUAUCUGUCAUGCCUCUGGAUGCGUGGGUAUUUUUAGAUGAAGUAUUUCAGUAUUUUAUGGUGACCAGUCUUUGUCUGACUUUCUCAUUAGUGCAUUUCUACAUUUUGAAGGAGAUUAGAAGAAAUCAAUCCAAGAGUUGAAGUAAGCACUUUGUUAAUUCCAAUUGCUAAAGACUCCUCUCCAUUUGUCUUCCUCACGAGAGGGCUAUACAUUUUAGCACCAGUCGCAAUUUCUUUUCUUUCAUAGACUUCUAUAGAGCCCAUCUUUUUAUAAAAUGCAGCCAUGGUCCUAUUCCUUUUUGCUCCUCCCAAUAUGAAUUUCACCUUGUUCUUUAAAAACCCUCGUGAUUUAGGGGAUGAUAGUUCUGAAAUUAAUCAAAAAGAGAGAAAUGGAACAAAUGUCACAGGCAAAUAUGAUAAACAUGAAGGUAUGUCCUCAGUGGUAUCCUUUACUGCAAUUGAAGAAAAAAUUGCAAUUGAAAUAUGUGCACUUUACAAACAAAAGAUAUGGUCAAGAUGGCAAUUCAGAGGUAAGAAACAACCUUUAGUUUUUAACAGAUUUGUGUCCAGAAGAAAGGAAUCCAGCAGAUAAGGUAAGAAUGUCAAGAUUUUAGGCUACCAAAGUCUAUCCUAACUUUGUCUAGAUUUUUGUCCUGGAAAAGUAUGAGAUUCCAUGGUUUUGACCAUGAUGAAGCAUGAAGCAAACCAUGAUCAAACAUGCAACAAAAGAACAACUUCAGGAAGAUAAGAAUCUUUCCAGUGACCUUACAAACUUGUUGGUAAGUCUUUAUGAGGUAUGUUUCUUAGAGAGAGAAAUGCACAUCUUGGAAAAUGCUUUCCUUUAGUCCAUUGAACAGUAUUUCAGGAUAUUCGGUUGCCCAAGUCUUUUCCUAACUUUGUCUAGAUAUUUCACUGGGAAAAUAUGAGAUUUCAGGCAUCUGACAACCUUCAAGAAGCAGCAAACGUAACACAAGUCUAAGGGAAAGAACAAGACUUGCUUCAGGAAGGUAUUAAGCUCCUUUGGGGAACUUAACAAACAUAUUGGUAAGUCUCCAUGAGGUAAGUUUCUCAAUUGAAAGAAUUCACACCCAAGAAAAUACUCAAGUGGCUAAAGAUUUAUUUUACCACUUUGUACUUGGAUAUAACCUCUUUGUAGACAUGAAAGUGAGCUUUCCUAUUUUGAAAGAACUGCAAAUCAAUCCUGUUGUGUCUAAUAAAAGCAUCUGGAAAAAAGAUGAAAUAUUGCCAAAAUUUACAGUGACUAAAGUCUCUGCCUUACAUUCCUCAGCUUUCUAUGGAGAAAGGAAUCAAAGAACUUAGGUAAGAAAUUCAUUAUCCCCACUACCUAAAGGUUGCCAUUUAUUUUAUUGUCUGGCUCCCUCCUUAAUAUUUUUUUUCAUCUUUGAUUGCGGUGGUUAAAAUGAUUUCUCCAUCCAGAGUGCAAACAAACUGGGAAAAGGAGGAUGUUGAGAGAGUAGAUGUGGAGGUAUACUUUGGGAGUUGGCUGGACAAGGUUGUAUUCUAUACAGACAUUUUUAGCAUACAUGCAAUAAUUCGUUUACUGAAAAGAAAAAAAUGGCAAUUGUUCCUAUUUUUCUAGAAAGGUUCAGAAGCAACUAUGUUGUUUAACAUUUGUUUGCUAUGUUACUGACUUCCUUCCAGGUAUGCAAGAGAUUUUAGAAAUUCUUAAAUGUUAUUUUAGUUACCAAAUUAAUUCAAGAAGACAGACAUCACCAAUGUGAUGGUAAGUCCUGAAAUGUUAUCCUUUACUGUAGGGAACGAUCUGUGAUAUUUUUCCUUGCUGGCUCACUGGAUGGGUGAGUGUGACGGUUCCUUGAUGCUUUGGUGACUUUUUGUUUUGCAGUUUUGGAAGGGAUUGUCCAAUGCAAAAAGCUCUGUAGAUCAUUCAUUGUUGUAAGAUAGGUAACAAAGAUCAUAACAUUGAUAGUUUGGCAAGAUCAAAAAAGCAAGGCGUAACACAAACUCCAGUGAGGUGAGAAACAUUUCUCUUAUAAAUGCUGUUUUUUCAAACAUAUUUGUGUUGAUUGCCAAAGACCAACAAUUUUAUCACCUUUUCUCCAUCCUUCUUUUGGUCUAGCAGGGGAUAUGGACUUAUACUUUAAGUGUCUUUAUUCUGUCCAUUUAGAUAUUGAUUAAUUUAUUUUCCAUUGAGCGGGCUGAAAAGGAAUGUUGAAAAUGAAAAAAACUGUGUGUGAACUUCACUUUAGGAACUGUCUAGAAUAUCUUCAAAAAUCCUAUUUGCUGACAGGGAGACACUGGGAUCAUAUGAUGGGUAAGAAAGCAAUACCUCUUGUGAAUCAGACUGUUGGUAUCCUUUACUGGCUUCCUUGGUAGUUGUUUUUUUUCCCUUGCUGUUUCCUUUGAUGGUUUGACAAUGAAUUCAUAUUUAGUUAUUUCUUUGCAGAUACCAAACUGUUGUUAUCAUUUACUGGAGCGAAAGGUUCGUAAUCGUUUUUUCCCUUGCUGGCUCACUAAAAACGUCAUGAUGAUGGUUUGACAAUUUGUUGUAGAAGGCUCUCAUGGCCAGAAUCACUGGGUUGCUGUGAGUUUUCCAGGCCAUGAAGCAUCAGGAGACUAUGCUCUGGAAUAUGGCCAUACAGCCCAGAAAACUCAUAGCAACCCAGUUUGACAAUUAUUUCAUAUUUAGUUACUUCUUUGCAGAUUUGGAAGGGAUUGCCUAAUGCAAAAGGAUCAGCAUUUGACCCAUUAUUUGAAAAUAGGUGACAAAAAGAAUUGCACUAAUACUUUGCCAAGAAAGCAAGACACAUAACAAAGAUAUUAGUCAGGUAAGAAGUGUUGCUGUUUGUAUCUUUCCUUCUUCAAGGAGAACAAGGUGAAAAACAUCACCAAUUUGUGUUGAUUCCCAAAGGCCAAUUAUUAUAUCAUUUUUCUGGAAGUCUUUUCAAAGGAAUGUUAUUGGGACAUUAAUUUAUUUUCUUUUAAGCAGAUUCAAGGUGGUUUUUCAGAGUUAAAAGAGAGAUGUGUGACCUUUCCUUUUGGCAUCGCCUAGAAAAUCUUCAGAAUUCUAAUUUAUGGAUAGAGAAAGGCAGUCUCCAACUUAUAAAAAAAAGUAUAAUUGGAAACAAGGAAACCUAGUAUGCAUCUAGAUGGAUGUGGAAAAUGACAUGAGCAUGGAAGAGCUGCAUUAAUAGGGAAUGUAUAUUUGCCAUUCAGGUGGCCAAUGUUUUUUCUUGUAGAGGAGAGCCACGGCGCUUGCAGGGUGGCCUUUGGACUACCGCACAACAACGGGGAGAGAGGGAUGGUGGGGAUGGGGCGCUUGCGUAUGGCUCUUGCUCGUGGGAUGCCCAGGGCUAGUGGUGCUGAUCGCCGUUUUGGGGUCGGGAAGGAAUUUUCCUCCAGGGCAGAUUGGCCGGAGACCCUGGAGGUUUUUCGCCUUCCCCUGGGCAUUGAGCAGGAGUCACCAGCCAUGUCAGAUGGUACAUUCUGGCCAAUUAAAAAAGCAUCUUAAAAUAAAUAUAUUAAUGAAAA